This 253-nucleotide ribosomal RNA is filed under the name uncultured bacterium. Its description in RNAcentral is "partial 16S ribosomal RNA". It matches the Rfam family "Bacterial small subunit ribosomal RNA", at positions 524 to 776 of the family's 1533-position model. The record is from RNAcentral.
UACGUAGGGGGCAAGCGUUGUCCGGAUUUACUGGGCGUAAAGAGCGCGCAGGCGGUCGUUCAAGUCGAGUGUGAAAGCCCCCGGCUCAACUGGGGAGGGUCACUCGAUACUGAUCGACUCGAAGGCAGAAGAGGGAAGCGGAAUUCCCGGUGUAGUGGUGAAAUUCGUAGAUAUCGGGAGGAACACCGGUGGCGAAGGCGGCGACCUGGGACAAUACUGACGCUGAGGUGCGAAAGCGUGGGGAGCAAACAGG